RNAcentral lists this unclassified non-coding RNA (406 nucleotides) under soil metagenome. Its description in RNAcentral is "partial contains 5.8S ribosomal RNA, internal transcribed spacer 2, and large subunit ribosomal RNA". The stretch from base 1 to 121 matches the Rfam family "5.8S ribosomal RNA", at positions 35 to 154 of the family's 154-position model. The record is from RNAcentral.
GAUGAAGAACGCAGCGAAAUGCGAUAAGUAAUGUGAAUUGCAGAAUUCAGUGAAUCAUCGAAUCUUUGAACGCACCUUGCGCCCUUUGGCCAUUCCGAAGGGCAUGCCUGUUUGAGUAUCAUGAACACCUCAACUCUUCAUGGUUUUUCGUGAUGAGCUUGGACUUUGGGGGUCUUGCUGGCCUAUGGUCAGCUCCUCUAAAAUAAAUCAGCUUGCCAGUGUUUGGUGGGUAUCACAGGUGUGAUAACUAUCUACGCUUGUGGUUUUCCACCAGGUAACCUUCAGCAGUGGAGGUUCGCUGGAGCUCACAGAUGUGUCUCUCCUCAGUGAGGACAGCUCUUUGAAUGUUUGAUCUCAAAUCAGGUAGGACUACCCGCUGAACUUAAGCAUAUCAAUAAGCGGAGGA